AGUGGAUGUUCCGAUGUUGUGUUUGGAGAAAAAAGUGGUCAUCCCAAUAAAAGGCUUGAUAUUCAAUUGCAGGAUUUGGAUGGUGUUAAACUUAAAUGUACAUUUUGGGACUCUUAUGCUGAUGAUUUUAAGGCCAAGUUUGCUGAAGAAAACUGUGACAUCAAUGUUUUAGUGAUUCAGUUUGCGAAAUUACGUGAAUGGAGAGGUAAUUAUACUGUUUCGCAUGGAUUUCAUGCGGCAAUGCUUAUGAUAAACACUGAUGAUAUACCUGAAAUUAAGAAUUUCAAGCUAAGGCAAAUCUAAAUGAUGUUCUUUGCUUCCAAUCUUGACGUAUCCAAAUAUUAUAUUGAUAACCAACACUUUGUUUACACCGUCACAAAAAUUUCACGUGAUGAAGAGUUAAUUAGGGGCCUUGAUACUAUAUUCCAUAGAGUGAUCAGUUAGGGAGUACUUUGAAAACGAGAGGAAGAACAUUGAAAACAUAAUCAAGCCGAAUCUUGGAGUUGUAGAUAUCUUCAAACGCGAAAAUUUGCAGGUUAUCCUUUUUUUCUAAGAUUUCAUUUAUCAAAAAAUAUGUGCCAUUUAUAAACCUAUGCCGAGUUAUUUUUUUUUUAAUUUUCAAAUGAGAUCUUGUGGAAGAGGUCAAAGACUCUGUUGUCGAGUUUAAAACCCACCAGCACAUGGGUAUGAUGAGAGCGUUCGGGAGCAGAAUACUAGAAUAGCUACAUUUUGUUCGGUAUAUAAAAAACCAAAAGACUUCUCUUGUGGCUUCAAUUAUAAGUAGGGACUCAGAUGUGAAGAAGAGUGGCUGAUGCAGAUGGGUUUGUAGCAAAUUUUGUGGAAAGUGAAGAAAUUGUACAUUUAAAAAGGAUAUACAACAUCGAUUGUACAGGGCACAUGAUUUUAGCAAGUCUAGAUUCGACCCUAUAACUGCCAUAAUAUGUGAUCAGGUGCUUUCCAUUAUGGAAUAAGUUUUUUGUUUGUGGUAUACAUUGAUUCCGAGUUCCUUUGGAUUGUAUUGGUCAUUUUUUACCUAUUUAUCCGGUGUGAGAACGAGUAGCAUGUUGACGGCAUGAAGUCACCAAUGCUGAUAAACUAAUAUCCGGAUGCACCAUUAUCGGUCAGGAUCAAUGCUCAAAAGAUGUCAAGACCUGGAGCAGUUAAAGAUCAAGCAACAACAGACAACACAGUUCUUGACCAGCUUUGAAAGGUUCAUGAUGUUUUUUGCGGAUAUGGGUCAUAUGUUGAGGGUCUGUUGUAAUCUCUAGAUUCAUUCAUGAUAAUUCAUGUCCAAUGCUACAGUUGGUGCGUUUUAUAGCUGCUGUUUGCUGGUGGUAUCUUUGUGUGUUGAUAUAGACUAUUAGUAUGGUUCUACUUCUAUAUUUAGUUAAAGACAAAAUGUCUUCAAAUGCAAAUUUUUUUUUUUUUUUUUUUUGUUAUCGCCAUGAAAGGUUUGAUAUUUUGGUGUCAUAAGUUUCAUGUUGAUAAGACAAUGAGGCAGUACACUUUUUCACUAUUUUCUUCCAAAUAAAAUCAAUUGUGUCAAUAAAGCAAAACCACCCGUUGGAUGUACUGUAGUUGCAGGCCAACCGUAGAUCAUUGGUCGUGAUAUCAAGGCUUCCAAUAAUCUUAAUGAUUAUAAUUUUGAAGAAAAGCUACUCAUGUCUCUAAUAUUGUGAUGGGAACUUUUGGGUAUGCCUAUUUCCUUGAUCAGAAUGGGGUGAUGAUUCAGAUGACGACAAUGAUGAUGAAGAUCUUAAAUCUGUUAGUAGUAAGAUCUGUUAGUAGCUACUGAAUGCAAGAGUUUGAACGAUAUACACGCUGGAAAGGGAAAGGGUUGGUUUAGAGUGGAUACUAGAAGUGUUAGCUUAAGUGAAAUCGCUUGAGAAGGCAGCAAAAACUCGUGGCCCGCAAAUUGUUAGAGCCUACUUAGACCUGGGGGUGUUAUUAACAAUCUGCCCAAAUGUAUAUGCUGGAAAUUUACAAGCGUUUAUCACUUCAAUUGCGGAACUUAUCAUAGAUUCCCUUGAAGAAUUCAAAGGUAAAGGUCAGGUCAUCCGAGAUUUAUAAACAUAGGGAAUCCAGGAGUUUUUGAUGACAAAUCAUUUAAAGAUGCAGAUCUUGACACCAUUAAACAAUAAGAAACUGUACUCCAUUUCCCCGAGUUGGAUUUUGAAGAUACGAAAGAGGAUGAUCACGAUUUCAUAAUGGUUGAAGGAAGAAGAUGACGAUUACAAGAUUUCAUUGGACUUCAGUCGAUGAUGCGUCGAUGAUGCCUGACUUUAGGCGCCAAGUUUUUUGAUAGUUCACACCACCUUCACAAUACUUAGUCAUGAAAAAAUGUGGUUGACUUGGUAGAUCGAGAUGAGCUGAUAUAUAAAUUUUUUUUCAAUUUGUGAUGAAUACGAAGCUCAAUUGGAUUGCAUAAUAUUAUUCGGACAUAUGUAUGGAUUAAACAUGGAAUUUAUGAGUCACUUCUAGAACCUUUUGUUGGUCGAUAAAGAAAUGAGAGAUUCAUUAGGUUCAUAAUUGCCAGACAAAGUUACCAAUUGUCAGUCGACGUUACUGCCUAAGGUGAUGAAUCAGAACUUGGGCCAUCACCAAAAGGUUCUUUCAAUUUUAGAUCACCUAUGAAAUAUUUCUCAAGUGAUUACCUACGAGUUACGAGUGAUAAUGGUAGUCAAGGCUAACUCUACACCAUGUUAUCAAGAGCCUCUCAUGUAGUAUUUCAAAUUUUGGUAACUGUGAUUGUUACCUUCUUAUUAUAUAUAUGGAUUAUAUU
This is a long non-coding RNA of Erigeron canadensis, 2782 nucleotides long. RefSeq lists it as uncharacterized. The transcript has 17 exons. NCBI's taxonomy places the organism in Eukaryota, Viridiplantae, Streptophyta, Magnoliopsida, Asterales, Asteraceae. The record is from RefSeq and is a predicted model, not a curated record.